RNAcentral lists this ribosomal RNA (468 nucleotides) under uncultured bacterium. RNAcentral's name for it is "partial 16S ribosomal RNA". It matches the Rfam family "Bacterial small subunit ribosomal RNA", at positions 28 to 507 of the family's 1533-position model. The record is from RNAcentral.
GACGAACGCUGGCGGCGUGCUUAACACAUGCAAGUCGAACGGAAAGGCCCUGCUUUUGUGGGGUGCUCGAGUGGCGAACGGGUGAGUAACACGUGAGUAACCUGCCCUUGACUUUGGGAUAACUUCAGGAAACUGGGGCUAAUACCGGAUAGGAGCUCCUGCUGCAUGGUGGGGGUUGGAACGUUUCGGCGGUUGGGGAUGGACUCGCGGCUUAUCAGCUUGUUGGUGGGGUAGUGGCUUACCAAGGCUUUGACGGGUAGCCGGCCUGAGAGGGUGACCGGCCACAUUGGGACUGAGAGACGGAGCAGACUCCUACGGGAGGCAGCAGUGGGGAAUAUGGCACAAUGGGCGGAAGCCUGAUGCAGCAACGCCGCGGGCGGGAUGACGGCCUUCGGGUUGUAAACCGCUUUCGCCUGUGACGAAGCGGGAGUGACGGUAAUGGGUAAAGAAGCACCGGCUAACUACGUG